ACNNNGUCUGCUCGUACACGUGGACAUCUGCCCUGGAGAGGAGGAUAUCCCCGGGAAACUGGGAUUAAUACUCCAUAGUUCGUCUUAACUGGAAUGUUAUUCGAACGAAAGAUCCGUCGCUCCAGGAUGAGUCUGCGGCCGAUUAGGUAGUUGUUGGGGUAACGGCCCAACAAGCCUUUCAUCGGUACGGGUUGUGGGAGCAAGAGCCCGGAGAUGGAUUCUGAGACACGAAUCCAGGCCCUACGGGGCGCAGCAGGCGCGAAAACUUUACCAUGCGGGCAACCGUGAUAAGGAAACCCCGAGUGCCAGCACAGGCUGGCUGUCCGCCAGUUUAAAUAACUGGUGAAGAAAGGGCCGGGCAAGACCGGUGCCAGCCGCCGCGGUAAUACCGGCGGCUCGAGUGGUGGCCGCUAUUACUGGGCUUAAAGGGUCCGUAGCUUGAUAACUGGGUCCCUUGAGAAAUCCGCCAGCUUAACUGGCGGGCGUUCAGGGGAAACUUGUUUUCUAGGGACCGGGAGAGGUGAGGGGUACUGCCGGGGUAGGAGUGAAAUCCUGUAAUCCCGGUGGGACCACCUAUGGCGAAGGCAUCUCACCAGAACGGGUCCGACAGUGAGGGACGAAAGCUGGGGGAGCAAACCGGAUUAGAUACCCGGGUAGUCCCAGCUGUAAACUAUGUGCGUUAGGUGUGUCAGUGACCACGUGUCACUGAGGUGCCGAAGGGAAACCGUGAAACGCACCGCCUGGGGAGUACGGUCGCAAGGCUGAAACUUAAAGGAAUUGGCGGGGGAGCACCACAACGGGUGGAGCCUGCGGUUUAAUCGGACUCAACGCCGGGAAUCUCACCGGAUAAGACAGCUGAAUGAUAGUCGGGAUGAAGACUCUACUUGACUAGCUGAGAGGAGGUGCAUGGCCGUCGUCAGUUCGUACUGUGAAGCAUCCUGUUUAGUCAGGCAACGAGCGGAGACCCGA
Molecule: ribosomal RNA, 969 nt
Filed under: uncultured Methanomicrobiales archaeon
Lineage: Archaea; Methanobacteriati; Methanobacteriota; Methanomicrobia; Methanomicrobiales
Description: bacterial SSU rRNA
Rfam family: Archaeal small subunit ribosomal RNA
Source: RNAcentral